Salvia splendens (bonfire salvia) is the source of this 3487-nucleotide long non-coding RNA. RefSeq lists it as uncharacterized. The record is from RefSeq and is a predicted model, not a curated record. Lineage: Eukaryota; Viridiplantae; Streptophyta; Magnoliopsida; Lamiales; Lamiaceae. The transcript is spliced from 4 exons.
UGAUGUUUGGAAAAUCAAAGAUGUUAUCUUUUAGAGAAUCACCCUUCGUCGGAAUGGGCGGUGUUGGAAAAAAAACACUUCGGUAAAACCACUCUUGCCAUGCAAGGGGAAUAUAUCGGGAUUUCUUCCCCAAAUCGUCAAACCACACCCAACGCACAGCAGUAGCGGCGCAUUCUUCCCCAAGCACGCCAAUCUCUUGCAAUUACAUCAACAAGGAGUUAAUCGGUGUCAUUCUUCCGCGUAUUUGAUAUAUCAUUCGGAGUUGAAUCAGAAGACGUACGCUGCAGAAGAUAUGAAGGAAUCAUUUGAGAUGUUCCCAUACAUCUGCGUGUUUUGGCAGUAAUAGACGAGAUGAGGUUCGGCGGCAUAUUGAGGUGUGGUCAACCAAAGGACAUUGACCACCAUCUUAUCACCGCGUUGAUUGAACGAUGGAGGCCAGAGACUCACACGUUUCACUUUCCAGUCGGUGAAGCGACAGUGACAUUGGAAGACGUGGAGGUCUUAUGGGGCCUCAAAGUUGACGGUGAUGCUUUGACGGGUUACAUCCGCACUAAGGAUGUCAACUAUUGGAUGCAACUUUCUCUGGAUUAUCUUGAAUUUGUACUAGAUACAGUUAAGUUGAAAGAAAUGGUUUGGAAACAGACAAGCUUAUCAAAUCAACUAAGGAUUGAGUUGAGUGAUGAACACGACCACUAUAUAUAUGUUCAACGUGCUCGUGUUUAUUGUCUGCUUUUACUUGGUGGUCUGAUGAUCCCGAACGCCUCCGGAAAUAAAAUUCCAUUCUUCUACUUGUAACUUUUCAUGGAUGUAGAACGAUGUUCUAGCUAUAGCUGGGGUGGUGCGACUAUUGCUUGUUUGUACCACAAUUUAUGUGAAGCUGCCCUUGCUAGGAGGAGCGAUGUUGGGGAGCUUGUACGUUGUUACAAUUGUGGGCUUGGGAGAGAAUCUCAAAUAUUAGGCCGAAGAUGCUAAAUCUCGUGCAUAUAAACUACGCACCAUGUGCAGUCCCGUAAGUUGUUCACUAAUUAAUUUUUUAAGCAUAAUUUUCAUUAAUUUCCUUGUUAUUCGCUCUUAAUUUAAUUUUUUAGAUUAAGUGGUCCGGCGUCAUAUGUAAAAGCACCCGGGCAUUGCAUUGAAAAUUUCAGAGAUCAGUUCUCCAGAAUGCACGCCAACCAAGUAAUUUAUGUAACUUAAAUUGUUUAUUGUUUGCUGUUUUGAUUGAAUUUGUUUUGACUAAAUUUGUUUCAUAUGUAGUUUAUUUGAAGGCCUUAUGUAAUGCGAAACUUUCCAAAUAUUUGUGUUGACGGUCGUCCUAUAUGGACGUCGAUCACAACCCUUAUUUGCUAGAAUUUGGUUGAGCCAUACUUUCCACAGCGAGUGUUGCGACAAUUUGGGAUUGUCCAACCGUAUAUCCCGCUCCUCAACCGAUUCCACGGUACUGAUUUUGUGAAACAGGAUCGUCGUGGUAAAUCUGGUCGAAAUUGGGUUGAGUACCACGCCAAUCAUAUACAGGAGUGGGACAAUAGGCACAACUUGGUUUGGACUGAUCUAGAGUACUCAAAUGAGCCUAUUGCAACUGAUAAAUAUAUGGAUUGGUUUCGCCGAAUAACUGUGGUGUACUUAACUAAACCUGGUGUGCAUGCUCAAGAGGGCUUCCAUGAAACGACAUAUUCUCAUAGCUUCGCGGUUGAGACGCUUCAAAAAAUACGUCACUUUCUAAGUGAGCAAGAUAUGACAUGACGACCAGAUUUGGUAACAAUUUCGAGAAUGGUUGAAUAAGGUCUGCAGAUAUCUGGGGAGGCUGAGAUGAUGGACUACCGUCCUUCCCAGCGCUCUGAGCUGGACAUUGACAUGCCCGUGAGACAAAAAGGGGAACGACGUGGAAAGAAGAAAACUUUUUGUGGAGAGUCACCAUCUUCAAGGAUGGAUGUUCAUUUGGUAGAUGAUUCCAAUGAAGAUUUUGUGCCUCCACCUCCACCUAGAUCUGCAGUUCGAGGUCGUCAUUCUGUCAGCCACACGGGUGGUACUGGUGAAGAUAUUGGUCUCAGUGAUAUCCACCAUUCUCUACCUCGGUCUUCAGUGCGAGAUGACUUUUUUGGGGUGGAUUUAGAGAAUGCUGUUGUUCAAGAUAGUCCUCCCUCUAGACUCCCUACUUCCAGAAUCGAGAAGGGGAUCCAUGGCCUGUUUAUGCGGAGAAGGCGAGACGAUUGAACUAAACUACAUCUAUUUUUAUUGGUUUAUUGAGUUGAACUUCGUGUUUGUCAAGUGAGAAUGAUUGCAAUAUUUUGAAUAAGCAUUGUAGUAAGCAGGAUUGGGUAGAAACGGUUGGCUGAAACUUAAUGCCAAACAUUCUGACUAAAAACGCCAACGUGAAAGGCGUGUUUACUAGAGAACGCCUACUUGGUUGGCGUUUUUAUCAGAACAUGCCAAGUAGGUUGGCUUCUUUAAGAAAAACGCCAGUCCCGUUGGCGUUUUACACUUUGAUGUUUAGGCGUGUUUCUACACAACGCAAUACAACCAUUCUGUAUUGACUCACCAACUUGGUUGGCGUUUUUAAGAAACAUGCCGAUCAGGUUGGCGUUUUCACGUAAAACGCCAGUUUCGUUGGCGUUUUAAACUUUGAUUUAUCGCCCGAGUUUCUAGUAGACGCAAUACAACCAUUCUGUAUUGACUCGCCAACGUGGUUGGCGUUUUUAUGAAACACACCAACUUGGUUGGCUUUUUUAGGUAAAAACGCCAACGGCAAUGGCGUGUGUUAGUAAAAACGCCAUCGAGACUGGCGUUUCAAUGCAGAAACAUUUUGUGUUUAACAUACCCUACAGAGCCACCAUCACAAUACAAUAACAAAAAUACAUUAUGUAACAUAUUGAAUACUACAUAAGUCCAGACAAAAUACCACAAGUCCAAAUAGUAAUCAAUACAUAAGUCCAAAUAGUAAUCAAUACAUAAUUCUAAACAAUUAAGAAGUCAGGCAGUUGUGCCUGUCGUGACCCGGUUGACAGCAUUUUUUACAACGUCGUCGGGCUCGUGGCUACUUCACGGACAUCCAUCUGAUUAGGAAUCCUAGUUGUAUGGUAUCGACCGCGACUUCGAGGCAUUAACUGAGUUCGUGAACACUGCAAAGUCCAUUCAGGCACGUCCCAAUAAGCUGGGUGUCUGAGUGGAUUGAACACCCCAGAAUAUUGGUGUACCCAAACACUGUGUGGUAUACGGGAUUAGCAAGCGAUAUCAUGUUGUCAUUUCUAAACUGCGCAACUGCCGCUGCAUGUGAACACGGAAGUCUCCACAUCUGCCACUUUUUACAUUUGCAGUUUGACACCAAGUACAACACCUUCCACUUGUUACCAACCUUUCCACCAAUUCGACGUCUUGUUCGAACCACAUAAAUCCCUUGAAUUGUAUUUGUUGCUCUCACAUUAUGUAACUGACCAAAUAAUAAUUUUUGCACACCUUUUCAUGUGCCCACGGGGUAAGUGGUGUCGCACAC